AAAGUCGUAACAAGGUUUCCGUAGGUGAACCUGCGGAAGGAUCAUUAAAGAUUCGGGCUUCGGCCUACCCUCUUCAGCUGUGCGCUUCGGCUGCACGCUGUCGAAACUCUCACACCUGUGCACCUUUUCGGUUGCGGCGUUCGCGUCGCUUCCGCUUUUACGUUUUACAACAGUCCAGAAUGUAACAAACCAUAAACGAAACAACUUUCAACAAUGGAUCUCUUGGCUCUC
Molecule: unclassified non-coding RNA, 231 nt
Filed under: Exidia sp.
Lineage: Eukaryota; Fungi; Basidiomycota; Agaricomycetes; Auriculariales; Exidiaceae
Description: partial internal transcribed spacer region
Rfam family: Eukaryotic small subunit ribosomal RNA (bases 1-47)
Source: RNAcentral